Molecule: ribosomal RNA, 467 nt
Filed under: uncultured bacterium
Lineage: Bacteria
Description: partial 16S ribosomal RNA
Rfam family: Bacterial small subunit ribosomal RNA
Source: RNAcentral
GACGAACGCUGGCGGCGUGCUUAACACAUGCAAGUCGAACGGAAAGGCCCUGCUUUUGUGGGGUGCUCGAGUGGCGAACGGGUGAGUAACACGUGAGUAACCUGCCCUUGACUUUGGGAUAACUUCAGGAAACUGGGGCUAAUACCGGAUAGGAGCUCCUGCUGCAUGGUGGGGGUUGGAAAGUUUCGGCGGUUGGGGAUGGACUCGCGGCUUAUCAGCUUGUUGGUGGGGUAGUGGCUUACCAAGGCGUUGACGGGUAGCCGGCCUGAGAGGGUGACCGGCCACAUUGGGACUGAGAUACGGCCCAGACUCCUACGGGAGGCAGCAGUGGGGAAUAUUGCACAAUGGGCGGAAGCCGGAUGCAGCGACGCCGCGUGCGGGAGGACGGCCUUCGGGUUGUAAACCGCUUUCGCCUGUGACGAAGCGUGAGGGACGGGAAUGGGUAAAGAAGCACCGGCUAACUACGU